UGCCAGUUCAAGUGCUUGGGUCAACA
Molecule: non-coding RNA, 26 nt
Filed under: Mus musculus (house mouse)
Lineage: Eukaryota; Metazoa; Chordata; Mammalia; Rodentia; Muridae
Source: RNAcentral